GGCCCCAUCGUCUAAUGGUUAGGACAGCAUUCUUUCAAGAUGUAGAUAUGGGUUCGAUUCCCGUUGGGGCCGCUA
RNAcentral lists this transfer RNA (75 nucleotides) under Candidatus Wolfebacteria bacterium CG03_land_8_20_14_0_80_36_15. Its description in RNAcentral is "tRNA-Glu". It matches the Rfam family "tRNA". Rfam says of the family: Transfer RNA (tRNA) molecules are approximately 80 nucleotides in length. Their secondary structure includes four short double-helical elements and three loops (D, anti-codon, and T loops). Lineage: Bacteria; Candidatus Wolfeibacteriota. The record is from RNAcentral.